AUACGGAGGGUGCAAGCGUUGUUCGGAAUUAUUGGGCGUAAAGGGCAUGUAGGCGGACUGUUAAGUCUGGUGUGAAAGCCCGGGGCUCAACCCCGGAAGUGCAUUGGAUACUGGCAGUCUUGAGUAUGGGAGAGGAAAGUGGAAUUCCGAGUGUAGGAGUGAAAUCCGUAGAUAUUCGGAGGAACACCAGUGGCGAAGGCGGCUUUCUGGACCAAUACUGACGCUGAGAUGCGAAAGCGUGGGGAGCGAACAGGAUUAGAAACCCCAGUAGUCC
Molecule: ribosomal RNA, 274 nt
Filed under: uncultured bacterium
Lineage: Bacteria
Description: partial 16S ribosomal RNA
Rfam family: Bacterial small subunit ribosomal RNA
Source: RNAcentral